AUGGAGACUCUCCUGCAAGUACUCAUAGGGAUAUUAGAGUUGCAGGUCGCCUGGGUCAGUAGUCAAGGACUAGAGCAGAGUCCACAGUCUCUGAUCGUCCAAGAGGGAGAAGAUUUCACCAUAAACUGCAGCUCAUCAAAGCCUGUGUAUGCCCUACACUGGUACAGACAAAAGAAGAGCAAAGGUCUAAUCUCCUUGAUGAUAUUGUGGAAAAAUGGGGAAGAAAAGAAUCACGAAGAAAUCACUGCCACAUUGGAUGAUAAAAAACAGCAGAGUUCUCUGCAUAUCAGAGCCGCCCAGCCCAGCCACUCAGGCACCUACCUGUGUGCAGCAGAUGCACUGUGAUCUCCAGGCCUCUGCAGGGUGUCCCCAAACCUGCCGCCAGGCCGCAGGUGCUCUGCCAACACAGGGCUCCUGAGCAGUGCUGGGGCAUUUGCCAAGAUGAGAGGCUUGAAGAAGAGGCAGUAGUCUCAUCGCAAAAAAAAAAAAAAGAA
Molecule: non-coding RNA, 494 nt
Organism: Neogale vison (American mink)
Lineage: Eukaryota; Metazoa; Chordata; Mammalia; Carnivora; Mustelidae
Source: the annotation of a RefSeq genome assembly